UGGGGAAUAUUGCACAAUGGGGGGAAACCCUGAUGCAGCGACGCCGCGUGAGCGAAGAAGUAUUUCGGUAUGUAAAGCUCUAUCAGCAGGGAAGAUAAUGACGGUACCUGACUAAGAAGCCCCGGCUAACUACGUGCC
RNAcentral lists this ribosomal RNA (138 nucleotides) under uncultured bacterium. Its description in RNAcentral is "partial 16S ribosomal RNA". It matches the Rfam family "Bacterial small subunit ribosomal RNA", at positions 355 to 509 of the family's 1533-position model. The record is from RNAcentral.